This 196-nucleotide ribosomal RNA is filed under the name uncultured Micromonas. RNAcentral describes it as "partial Bacterial large subunit ribosomal RNA". It matches the Rfam family "Bacterial large subunit ribosomal RNA", at positions 778 to 971 of the family's 2925-position model. Lineage: Eukaryota; Viridiplantae; Chlorophyta; Mamiellophyceae; Mamiellales. The record is from RNAcentral.
ACUCACUGAUUUUGAAAAAUCAGGAGAUGACUUGUGGCUGGGGGUGAAAGGCCAAUCAAACCGGGAGAUAGCUGGUUCUCCCCGAAAUCUAUUUAGGUAGAGCCUCGGACGAACACCAUUGGGGGUAGAGCACUGUUAAGGCUAGGGGGUCAUCCCGACUUACCAACCCGAUGCAAACUCCGAAUACCAGUGAGUG